AUUCUGCGUAGACAAAAGAGGCAGUUUUUGUAAUGAAAUAUAUCACAGUGUUUUGGGGUUGGAGUACCACAAUGAUAUAAACAAUAUAGGGCCCUGUACAAAAACUGAAAGAUGGAAAAAUGGCUAUGUGUUUUUGAAAGAAAAUUACAUAAAUGCCUGAAAUAUGUCAGGAGACAAAUCCAAUGUUCUUUUCAUAUUUUCAUUUAUCCUGGAAAAAUAAAUCUCACAGAGUUGCCAAAACAUGGAAGAAAAGGAGAACUUGGGAUUUCUGUACUUGAUCAAGCUAUUUGAAGUCAUUGAACUACUCAAUUAUUGUUUGCUCCCUUCCAGGUUCAGAAGAAAGCAUUGAUUAAAACACCCUCAUGGAAUUUUAUACAUGGAUCAUUAGGAUAAGUAUAUGGCUUUUAUUCUCCUUUUUUAAACCAACUUAUAGAUACAGCAAGGAAAGAGUUAUUUAUUGGACUAAGUAUUAACAGUGUGAUAACAGAUAAGCUUGUCUUUGGAAGUGGAACCACUCUCACAGUCGAACCAAGCAAUCAGAAAGAAUCUGACCCAGAAGUUGUUCUGAUAAAAUCCAAGGCACUUGAAGAAGGUGGCAGUACUGGGAAAGCAGCUUGUUUGGCAAGGAACUUCUAUCCAAAAAAUAUCAGUUUGGACAUGUUAACAGCUGAAGUCAUAUAUGAACAGUCUCCACCCGUUAUGACAUCAGAGGGGACAUACAAUACUAUUAAAGUGGUGAAUGUGGCAAAAAAAUCAGAGGUAUCCUGCACGGCCAAGUUCAAGAACAAAAAUUUUCCAGCCAAUGCAACGUCAUCAGAAAAGGUGGUGGAAGAACCAAUAACAGCAAAUGUUUGCAACACCACAGACAUCUCUUCAAAAGGAGAUAUCAAAACAGAGAAAACAAACAUGCUGUCCAUGGCUGUGUUGGGUUUAAGAGUCCUGCUGGCAAAAAGUAUUGCCUUCAAUACACUCAUGAGCAUCAAGUUGUUUCUUUUCUGAGGCAAAGAGGUAUCAAGGCAGAAGAAAGCUGAGAAACAGCAGGAGAGAGCAGCUACCAGCAGUACAAUUUGAAGAGAUGAUGUUAAAUCUGUUGACAACAACCAUCUAGAACACAGCACAGCACCAUCUCCUUAAGACAUUUCAGAGUGUGGACUCCUGCCUGGAUAGUUUAUGUAAUUUUUAGAGUUGUAAUUGCUUUUGCUAUUUCUUGUUUUCUGUGAGCAGAGGAAAGUAUUUUUCCUCAUCUGUCAGCUAAGUAGAAAUUGAUCCUUCCACUUUUCUAUCCUUUGCAUGGAAGCAUCCAACAUACUUUGAUAGUUCUGAAAAAAAAAAUUGAAACCUCACUAUCGAUAUAUGAACUUUUAAAAAUACCUUUUUACAGCAAUGUUGCAUUAUUCUGUAGAACUGAUAUUUUACUUCUGAGAGGCACAGUGGAUGUCAUUUAUAUAUAUAUAUAUUUUAAGAUAUCUUUAAUAACCAUAAUUUUCUAGUAUAGAUGAGAAGAGCUGCAUUGGAUCCGAAGGGGUGCACUUCAACCAGAUGAUGUUCAACUGUAGUAACAUUUUUAUUUACAUUUCUGUAUUUAAUUUUUAUCUUUUCUGCAAAGGGUAUGACAUCUGCAUUUUAUAUCACUGUAGCGAUUAUCAAAAUAAAAUUUUAUUACACCAAAA
RNAcentral lists this long non-coding RNA (1670 nucleotides) under Anas platyrhynchos (mallard). RNAcentral's name for it is "lncRNA (ENSAPLG00020002432.1)". Lineage: Eukaryota; Metazoa; Chordata; Aves; Anseriformes; Anatidae. The record is from RNAcentral.